AUUGCACAAAAAGCUGGGUAUAGUUCAAAUUCCUGACUGUAUAUUCUGAUUCCCCUGGGCAUUUACACUCUGCCAUCCCACACAGUUCCCCCUCCUGUGUGAGGGUCCUAUUGCAAUUCAUUAGCGUGCUUUUUUUUUUUUUUUUUUUUUUUUUUUUGCUUUUUGUUUUGGAGACGGAGUCUUGCUCUGUCCCUCAGGCUGGAGUGCAGCGGCGCCAUCUCAGCUGAAUGCAACCUCUGCCUCCUGGGUUCAAGAGAUUCUCCUGCCUCAGCCUCCCAAGUAGCUGGGAUUACAGGUGCGUGCCACCACGCCUGGCUAAUUUUUUGUAUUUUUAGUAGAGACAGGGUUUCACCGUGUUAGCCAGGAUGACCUUGAUCUUCUGACCUCGUGAUCCUCCCACCUCAGCCUCCCAAAGUGCUGGGAUUACAGGCGUGAGCCACAGCGCCCGGCCUUCAGCGUGCUUUUUUUUUUAAUGGUUUGCUAUAUUUACAUCUGGUUUCUCCUUCUGAAUGUAUUUUCCAGAGAGAAGUACUGAGAAGCUUAAAGUAUUUGAAUGGGAGGAGGAGAAGCAAACUACAGCUACUUCAGAGGAUAACACUAAACACCUAGUCCACUCUGUAUACACUAGAGGUGCUGUUAAUUUUCUUGUGGAGAAGGAACUGUCUUUAGAAAAAUAUCUCAAAAAGCCACUGAAGUAGAAAGUUUCAGCAUGCUGAAGAUGGAACUUGAGAAGAUAGAAAGUUCUGGGUCCUUAGUGGCAUGACUGAGUCGCUGGACCACUGUUGGAACCACCCUAUGUCUUAGUUUUUAAAUCUCUUUACUGUCUAAGACAUUUUUAGUGGAAGUAUUUAUCUCUGGCAUCCAAUAAGACCUUUAAGGAUUUGCAGUUUU
Molecule: long non-coding RNA, 891 nt
Filed under: Homo sapiens (human)
Lineage: Eukaryota; Metazoa; Chordata; Mammalia; Primates; Hominidae
Description: LYPLAL1 antisense RNA 1
Source: RNAcentral